GACUAAUCGAACCAUCGAGUAGCUGGUUCCCUCCGAAGUUUCCCUCAGGAUAGCUGGUAACUUUUUAGAAUAGUUUUAUCAGGUAAAGCGAAUGAUUAGAAGCUCUGGGGAUGAAACAUCCUCGACUUAUUCUCAAACUUUAAAUAGGUAAGAUGAUUGCAGUACUUAACUGACUGUCAGUCUCUUGAAUAGUAAGUUCUUAGUGGGCCAUUUUUGGUAAGCAGAACUGGCGAUGUGGGAUGAACCAAACGUAAAGUUAAAGUGCCUAAAAAUACGUUCAUCAGAUACCACAAAAGGUGUUGAUUCAUCUUGACAGUUGGACAGUGGCCAUGGAAGUCGGAAUCUGCUAAGGAGUGUGUAACAACUCACCAACCGAAUGAAUUAGCCCUGAAAAUGGAUGGCGC
Molecule: ribosomal RNA, 404 nt
Filed under: uncultured eukaryote
Lineage: Eukaryota
Description: eukaryotic LSU rRNA
Rfam family: Eukaryotic large subunit ribosomal RNA
Source: RNAcentral